UCGUGAUUCUAGUUGAUAAAGUGACUAGCCAUUGACAGGUUCUGGCAGACUUCACUUAUGGGAUCACCAUCCUGGUAUUUGUGCUGCUGCUUUUCCUGAGAACAUUUGAUAGAAAUCGAUCUUCAUUGUUGCAGGAAGGUUAUAUGGACUCUGUUAGGGUGAAUAUCUCAUCUUAUAGGGUUUCCAUGAUGCUUGCGACAUCCCUCGCUAUUCUGGCGGUUGAUUUCAAGAUAUUUCCCAGAAGAUAUGCAAAAACAGAGACGUACGGCACUGGCUUGAUGGAUCUCGGGGUUGGAUCAUUUGUAUUAGCAAAUUCCUUAGUUUCACGACAGGCUCGUGGCUCCUUAAAUAUGUAAGUGCUCGCUCUUUUAUGUCUUUUCUUUUGUAACUAUUAUUUUUCUUGUGUACAAGUUGAGCUAUACUCACAUAUGAAAUGCAAAUAAGAUACUCUUAUUAGUUAAACUAGUACUAUAAAGUUUAGAAAUGGUUACGAGAAUAACAAACCCAUUCCUUCUGUUCUUCCCAUGUAUUACGGAUUUUCUCAUAUUUAAAAAAGUCAUGAAUAAAUUUUACUGUUAAUUUUUUUUUUUCUAGUUUUAAAAUAAUAAAGUAGCCAAGUAGGGGUAGCGUGUCUUACAAGUGAAACACACAAGGUCCGGAAUUCGGCAGGAUGGCCCCUCUCUAGUUGGGGCAAGAAGACUACCACAUUUCCUUUUCUUAAUCACAUUUUUUUUUCCUUAACAACUUAAAUUUAGAAUGUUGAUUAUAUAUUUUGAACAAAUUUAUGAAUUAACAAUGAUAAAUUGGCAAAUAUCUUCCAGAUAUGAGUAGAUGAGGUACCUCGUAUUCUCUAAGCUUCUAAAUUUUGAUAAUUGCAAUUAAAAU
Erythranthe guttata (spotted monkey flower) is the source of this 885-nucleotide non-coding RNA. NCBI's taxonomy places the organism in Eukaryota, Viridiplantae, Streptophyta, Magnoliopsida, Lamiales, Phrymaceae. The record is from RefSeq and is a predicted model, not a curated record.